GAAGAGUGGAGGGGUGGGGAGAGGGGAGGACAGCUCCUUUCCACCCCUCCCUGCUCUGGGAAAGCGGCCCCGGCCCACAGCCAGUCAUGCUGCAGCAGGUGAAGGUCGGGGUGGAGGGUGAGCAGGUUCCCUGAGGAUGCAGAGGAGGGUCAGGGUGGAGGGUGGGCAGCUUCCUUGAGGAUGCAGAGGAGGGUCAGGGUGGAGGGUGGGCAGCUUCCCUGAGGAUGCGGAGGAGGGUGGGGUGGAGGGUGGGCAGGUUCCCUGAGGAUGCAGAGGAGGGUUGGGUGGAGGAUGGGCAGGUUCCCUGAGGAUGCAGGUGAGGUCAGGGUGGAGGAUGGGCAGGUUCCCUGAGGAUGCAGGGAGGGUGGGGUGGAGGGUGGGCAGGUUCCCUGACCCUGUACACAGCACUGAGGCAGGCCUCUCUGUCGCCCAGCCCCCAGCUCCCAGCCUGCAGCCGGGUACCUGACUCGGAGGGUUCCGCAGAGCAGGCAGGCUGACCGCAGGGCCUCAUAGCGCCUUAGUCUCUUAGGGAUGCUGCGACCAAUGACGGCAAAUGGCGAGGCCUCCUGGGGUCAGGCCAAAACCAGCCUCCCUGCCGAAAUCAAGGUGUCGAUGGGGCUCUGCUCCUCUGGAGGCCCCAGGAGAGUCGGUUCCCUGCUUCACCCCUUGCCGUGGCUGCCGACACCCCUUGGCUUGUGGCUGCGUCACUCCAGUCUCUGCCUCUGUCGCCACACUGCUCUCUCCUCCUCUGUGUCAAAUCUCCUUCUCAUGAGGAUGCGAGUGACUGCACUUAGGGCCCACCUGGGAUAAUCUGGGAUUGCCCCCAUCUCAACAUCCUCAACCAAAUCUUCAAGAUCCUUUCCUGCCACAUGGAGUCAGCCACAGAUUCCAGGGUUGAGGUCCUGAUACCCUUGGGGCAUGUUGGACCCACUGUGCUAGGUGAGGACGGAAACGAGGCAGCCCAGGUGACAGGCAGUGGUGAUGGGGGCACUGUCUAGGGGCGCCCUUGGAGGGCCUGCUCAUGUCUCCCUCCAUUCCCAAAGUGGGGUCCCUCAAACCCACACAAAAGGGAGGUAGAAUGGGAGGAAGAGUGGAGCAACCAGGGAGUUUGGGCCCCCAGGUGGUGCUGGCAGCCCACGGCCCCAGAUGGGGAGGAUUUG
Molecule: long non-coding RNA, 1160 nt
Filed under: Homo sapiens (human)
Lineage: Eukaryota; Metazoa; Chordata; Mammalia; Primates; Hominidae
Description: non-protein coding lnc-EEF1A2-1:1
Source: RNAcentral